UGGGGAAUCUUGCACAAUGGGGGCAACCCUGAUGCAGCGACGCCGCGUGAGCGAUGAAGCCCUUCGGGGCGUAAAGCUCUUUCGACCGGAACGAUAAUGACGGUACCGGGAGAAGAAGCUGCGGCUAACUACGUGCCAGCAGCCGCGGUAAUACGUAGGCAGCAAGCGUUGUUCGGAGUUACUGGGCGUAAAGAGUGCGUAGGCGGUUUUCUAAGUUCGGUGUGAAAUCUCCCGGCUUAACUGGGAGGGUGCGCCGAAGACUGGGAAGCUGGAGUGUGGGAAAAGCAGGCGGAAUUCCUGGUGUAGCGGUGAAAUGCGUAGAUAUCAGGAGGAACACCGGCGGUGUAGACGGCUUGCUAGACCAUAACUGACGCUGAGGCACGAAAGCGUGGGUAGCAAACA
RNAcentral lists this ribosomal RNA (402 nucleotides) under uncultured bacterium. RNAcentral's name for it is "bacterial SSU rRNA". It matches the Rfam family "Bacterial small subunit ribosomal RNA", at positions 355 to 774 of the family's 1533-position model. The record is from RNAcentral.